GAAUCCCCCCACCAUAGUUUCAACUUUCACGGCUGCCGCCAUUUCUUCCGUAUCAACCCGCUACCAGACACCUGGGGCUCUGCAAACACUUGAGCUUCACUGCAGAGCCUACAAUAAUGGCGUUCUCGUCUUCGAUUUCUCCGUGCAAGCUCUCCUCCAACCCAUUAUUGGGAGCCGCCAAUGUCCGGCCUAAAGCUAAGAAGACGCCCCCCGCCGACAUGCACAAGAUCUGCCCUUUCUCUGCCCUCCCCCGCUCCGCUUUCUCUAAACUUGAAUUUAAUACCCAUGGGGGAAGAAGAGAAUUAUCAAGUUUCAGCGUAUAUUCUGCUAUUAUUAGCCCAGAGCGCACUGCUGAGGAAACUAUAGAGAAAAUUCAGCUUCCAAAGGGUGAUAGUUGGGGUGUACAUAAAUUUGGGGGUACCUGUGUGGGAAACUCAGACAGGAUCCGCAAUGUUGCAAAUGUUAUUGUUAAAGACCAAUCAGAAAGAAAGCUGGUUGUUGUGUCUGCAAUGUCAAAAGUGACGGAUAUGAUGUAUGAUCUGAUUCAUAAAGCAGAGUCCAGAGAUGACUCAUAUAUAACUGCAUUAGAUGCUGUUCUUGAAAAACAUAAGUUAACAGCAGUAGAUCUGCUAGAUGGAGAUGAGCUUGCUAGUUUUUUAUCUAAGCUCCAAGGUGACAUCAAAAACCUCAAAGCUAUGCUUCGUGCAAUAUACAUUGCUGGUCACGCAACAGAAUCUUUUUCAGCUUUUGUUGUAGGCCAUGGGGAAUUGUGGUCGGCUCAUUUAUUGUCAUGUGUUGUUAGAAUGAAUGGAGUGGACUGCAAAUGGAUGGACACUAGGGAGGUCCUUAUUGUGAAUCCUUCUGGUUCGAAUCAAGUUGAUCCUGAUUAUUUGGAGUCACAAGAAAGACUUGAGAAAUGGUACUCUAGGAAUCCAUCUAAAACAAUCAUCGCAACUGGCUUUAUAGCCAGCACUGCUCAGAACAUCCCUACAACUCUGAAAAGGGAUGGUAGCGACUUUUCUGCUGCUAUUAUGGGUGCUUUAUUUAAAGCACGCCAAGUAACUAUCUGGACAGAUGUUGAUGGUGUAUAUAGUGCAGACCCAAGAAAAGUUAAUGAGGCAGUGAUACUGAAGAAAUUAUCUUAUCAAGAAGCUUGGGAAAUGUCAUACUUUGGUGCCAAUGUCUUGCAUCCUCGGACAAUUGUUCCAGUUAUGCAAUAUGAUAUUCCGAUUGUUAUAAAAAAUAUCUUUAACCUUUCUGCUCCUGGAACAAUGAUCUGCCGGUCUAAUGAGACCGAGUUUGAAGAUGGAGAGAAACCAGAAGCUCUUGUCAAAGGAUUUGCAACAAUAGACAAUGUGGCACUAGUGAAUGUUGAAGGAACUGGAAUGGUUGGUGUCCCAGGUACAGCUAGUGCAAUUUUUAAUGCUGUUAAAGAUGUUGGAGCUAAUGUAAUCAUGAUAUCACAGGCUAGUAGUGAGCAUUCUGUAUGUUUUGCCGUGCCUGAAAAGGAAAUUAAAGCUGUUGCUGAAGUUUUAGAGUCUAGAUUUAAGCAAGCAUUGGGUGUUGGGCGAAUCUCUCAGAUUUCAGUUAUACCAAACUGUAGCAUUUUGGCCGCAGUUGGCCAGAGAAUGGCAAGUACCCCUGGAGUCAGUGCUACCCUUUUCUCCGCACUUGCAAAGGCUAACAUCAAUAUCCGUGCUAUAGCUCAAGGUUGCUCAGAGUAUAAUAUUACAGUAGUUAUAAAGAAAGAAGACUGUGUGAAGGCUUUACAUGCUGUGCACUCAAGAUUUUAUUUGUCAAGAACCUCAAUUGCGGUGGGCAUUAUUGGACCUGGGUUGAUCGGUGGUACUCUGCUUAACCAGUUCAAGGACCAGACCGCUGUCCUAAAGGAAAAAUUUAACAUUGAUUUGCGUGUUUUGGGUAUCAUUGGACUGAAUACAAUGCUAUUGAGUGAGACGGAUAUAGACUUGUCAAGUUGGACUGGCCUGCUAAAGGAAGGGGAAAAGGCCGACUUAGAGAAGUUCGUUCAGCAUGUGAGUGAAAAUCACUUCAUACCAAAUACUGUUUUGGUAGACUGUACAGCAGACGCUUACAUUGCGAGCCACUACUAUGAGUGGUUGCAUAGAGGAAUACAUGUGAUCACGCCUAAUAAGAAAGCAAAUUCGGGACCCCUCGAUCAGUACUUGAAGCUGAGAGAUUUGCAACGCCAAUCAUAUACACAUUACUUUUAUGAGGCCACUGUUGGAGCAGGUCUUCCAAUUAUUAGCACCUUACGUGGCCUUCUGGAAACCGGGGACAAGAUAUUGAAGAUUGAGGGCAUAUUCAGUGGAACUCUUAGCUACAUAUUCACCAACUUCAUUGGGGAACGGGCUUUUAGUGAGGUGGUGAAGGAGGCAAAAGACGCAGGUUUUACAGAACCAGACCCAAGGGAUGACUUGUCUGGAACAGAUGUUGGCAGAAAGGUUGUAAUUCUAGCAAGAGAAUGUGGUUUGAAGCUAGAACUUUCUGAUUUACCUGUUCAGAGCCUUGUUCCAGAAAAAUUACAGGCAAGUGCAUCAGCUGAGGACUUUAUGCAGCAGCUGCCAACAUUUGAUCAAGACAUGACUAAACAAAGAAUUGAAGCUGAAGAUGCAGGGGAGGUUUUAAGAUAUGUUGGGAUAGUGGACGUGGCGAACCAAAGAGGGAGUGUAGAACUGCAGAGAUACAAGAAAGACCACCCAUUUGCUCAACUCUCAGGAUCUGAUAACAUCAUUGCAUUCACAACCGAAAGGUACUCCAAGCAGCCUCUGAUCGUACGCGGCCCUGGAGCCGGUGCUGAAGUUACUGCCGGUGGGGUGUUCAAUGACAUUCUGCGACUCGCCUCCUAUCUUGGUGCUCCCUCAUAACUCAUACAUUCAGGGAGCUUCGCUGGUGGUAUGUUUUCAUGGUGUUUUAGCCUCAAAAUUGCGGGGCAUAGCAGCAUUUAUAGUGACAGCAUUUGUAGUGGUUAGUUGAGCCUCUGAGUUGUGCUAAUGUGUGCCUUUUCAGUUGCUCCUAUUGUUUUCUUUUUCUGCAAACUAUUAUUAUCUUUCUAUGUUCUGUAAGAACUAUUUUCAGUUCCCAUAAAUUUCAUGCUAUUGGGCAUGUGCAAAAUUUGUAGGCAUUGGGGUAA
Ipomoea nil (Japanese morning glory) is the source of this 3151-nucleotide RNA transcript. It is a transcript of the gene named bifunctional aspartokinase/homoserine dehydrogenase 1, chloroplastic-like, with no coding region annotated. The record is from RefSeq and is a predicted model, not a curated record. The transcript has 19 exons. Lineage: Eukaryota; Viridiplantae; Streptophyta; Magnoliopsida; Solanales; Convolvulaceae.